UGCGUAGGCGGUUAGGUAAGUCAGAUGUGAAAUCCCGGGGCUCAACCUCGGAACUGCAUCCGAUACUGCCUGACUAGAGGACUGGAGGGGAGUCUGGAAUUCUCGGUGUAGCAGUGAAAUGCGUAGAUAUCGAGAGGAACACUAGUGGCGAAGGCGAGACUCUGGACAGAUCCUGACGCUGAGACACGAAGGCUAGGGUAGCGAACAGGAUUAGAUACCCUGGUAGUCC
Molecule: ribosomal RNA, 229 nt
Filed under: uncultured bacterium
Lineage: Bacteria
Description: partial 16S ribosomal RNA
Rfam family: Bacterial small subunit ribosomal RNA
Source: RNAcentral